Molecule: ribosomal RNA, 908 nt
Filed under: Enterococcus faecium
Lineage: Bacteria; Bacillati; Bacillota; Bacilli; Lactobacillales; Enterococcaceae
Description: bacterial SSU rRNA
Rfam family: Bacterial small subunit ribosomal RNA
Source: RNAcentral
UGGGGAUCUAUACAUGCAAGUCGAACGCUUCUUUUUCCACCGGAGCUUGCUCCACCGGAAAAAGAGGAGUGGCGAACGGGUGAGUAACACGUGGGUAACCUGCCCAUCAGAAGGGGAUAACACUUGGAAACAGGUGCUAAUACCGUAUAACAAUCAAAACCGCAUGGUUUUGAUUUGAAAGGCGCUUUCGGGUGUCGCUGAUGGAUGGACCCGCGGUGCAUUAGCUAGUUGGUGAGGUAACGGCUCACCAAGGCCACGAUGCAUAGCCGACCUGAGAGGGUGAUCGGCCACAUUGGGACUGAGACACGGCCCAAACUCCUACGGGAGGCAGCAGUAGGGAAUCUUCGGCAAUGGACGAAAGUCUGACCGAGCAACGCCGCGUGAGUGAAGAAGGUUUUCGGAUCGUAAAACUCUGUUGUUAGAGAAGAACAAGGAUGAGAGUAACUGUUCAUCCCUUGACGGUAUCUAACCAGAAAGCCACGGCUAACUACGUGCCAGCAGCCGCGGUAAUACGUAGGUGGCAAGCGUUGUCCGGAUUUAUUGGGCGUAAAGCGAGCGCAGGCGGUUUCUUAAGUCUGAUGUGAAAGCCCCCGGCUCAACCGGGGAGGGUCAUUGGAAACUGGGAGACUUGAGUGCAGAAGAGGAGAGUGGAAUUCCAUGUGUAGCGGUGAAAUGCGUAGAUAUAUGGAGGAACACCAGUGGCGAAGGCGGCUCUCUGGUCUGUAACUGACGCUGAGGCUCGAAAGCGUGGGGAGCAAACAGGAUUAGAUACCCUGGUAGUCCACGCCGUAAACGAUGAGUGCUAAGUGUUGGAGGGUUUCCGCCCUUCAGUGCUGCAGCUAACGCAUUAAGCACUCCGCCUGGGGAGUACGACCGCAAGGUUGAACCAGAAAAAAAAAAUGGAGGGU